UCCUCGAUAGCUCAGUGGUAGAGCAUCCGGCUGUUAACCGGAGGGUCGUAGGUUCAAAUCCUACUCGAGGAGCCA
RNAcentral lists this transfer RNA (75 nucleotides) under Ferroacidibacillus organovorans. RNAcentral describes it as "Acidibacillus ferrooxidans tRNA-Asn". It matches the Rfam family "tRNA". From Rfam's summary of the family: Transfer RNA (tRNA) molecules are approximately 80 nucleotides in length. Lineage: Bacteria; Bacillati; Bacillota; Bacilli; Caryophanales; Alicyclobacillaceae. The record is from RNAcentral.